GAUGAACGCUGGCGGCGUGCCUAAUACAUGCAAGUCGAGCGAACAGAUGAGGAGCUUGCUCCUCUGACGUUAGCGGCGGACGGGUGAGUAACACGUGGAUAACCUACCUAUAAGACUGGGAUAACUUCGGGAAACCGGAGCUAAUACCGGAUAAUAUAUUGAACCGCAUGGUUCAAUAGUGAAAGACGGUUUUGCUGUCACUUAUAGAUGGAUCCGCGCCGCAUUAGCUAGUUGGUAAGGUAACGGCUUACCAAGGCAACGAUGCGUAGCCGACCUGAGAGGGUGAUCGGCCACACUGGAACUGAAACACGGUCCAGACUCCUACGGGAGGCAGCAGUAGGGGAUCUUCCGCAAUGGGCGAAAGCCUGACGGAGCAACGCCGCGUGAGUGAUGAAGGUCUUCGGAUCGUAAAACUCUGUUAUUAGGGAAGAACAAAUGUGUAAGUAACUAUGCACGUCUUGACGGUACCUAAUCAGAAAGCCACGGCUAACUACGUG
RNAcentral lists this ribosomal RNA (497 nucleotides) under uncultured bacterium. RNAcentral's name for it is "partial 16S ribosomal RNA". It matches the Rfam family "Bacterial small subunit ribosomal RNA", at positions 28 to 507 of the family's 1533-position model. The record is from RNAcentral.